UACGUAGGGGGCUAGCGUUGUUCGGAAUCACUGGGCGUAAAGCGCGCGUAGGCGGACACUUAAGUCAGGGGUGAAAUCCCGAGGCUCAACCUCGGAACUGCCUUUGAUACUGCGUGUCUGGAGUCCGGAAGAGGUUGGUGGAAUUCCGAGUGUAGAGGUGAAAUUCGUAGAUAUUCGGAGGAACACCAGAGGCGAAGGCGGCCAACUGGUCCGGCACUGACGCUGAGGCGCGAAAGCGUGGGGAGCAAACAGG
RNAcentral lists this ribosomal RNA (253 nucleotides) under uncultured bacterium. RNAcentral describes it as "partial 16S ribosomal RNA". It matches the Rfam family "Bacterial small subunit ribosomal RNA", at positions 524 to 776 of the family's 1533-position model. The record is from RNAcentral.